UAGGCCUAGGAUCAUGAAACUUCAUAGGUACAUUGAUCAUGACUCGCAGAUGACCCCUAUUGAUUUUGAGGUCACUAGGUCAAAGGUCAAGGUCACUGUGACCCGAAAUAAUAAAAUGGUUUCCGGAUGAUAAUUCAAAAACGCUUAUGCCUAGGAUCAUGAAACUUGAUAGGUAGAUUGAUCAUGACUAGCAGAUGACCUCUAUUGAUUUUCAGGUCACUAGGUCAAAGGUCAAGGUCACGGUGACCCGAAAUAGUAAAAUGGUUUCCGGAUGAUAACUCAAGAACGCUUAUGCCUAGGAUCAUGAAACUUGAUAGGUACAUUGAUCAUGACUGGCAGAUGACCCCUAUUGAUUUUGAGGUCACUCUGUCAAAGGUCAAGGUCACGGUGACCCGAAAUAGUAAAAUGGUUUCCGGAUGAUAACUCAAGAAGGCUUAUGCCUAGGAUCAUGAAACUUGAUAGGUAGAUUGAUCAUGACUCGCAGAUGACCCCUAUUGAUUUUCAGGUCACUAGGUCAAAGGUCAAGGUCACGGUGACCCGAAAUAGUAAAAUGGUUUCCGGAUGAUAACUCAAGAACACUUAUGCCUAGGAUCAUGAAACUUGAUAGGUAGAUUGAUCAUGACUCGCAGAUGACCCCUAUUGAUUUUCAGGUCACAAGGUCAAAGGUCACGGUGACCCGAAAUAGUAAAAUGGUUUCCGGAUGAUAACUCAAGAACGCUUAUGCCUAGGAUCAUGAAACUUGAUAGGUACAUUGAUCAUGACUGGCAGAUGACCCCUAUUGAUUUUCAGGUCGCUAGGUCAAAGGUCAAGGUCACAGUGACCCGAAAUAGUAAAAUGGUUUCCCGAUGAAAACUCAAGAAAGCUUAUGGCUAGGAUCAUGAAACUUCAUAGGUGCAUUGAUCAUGACUCACAGAUGACCCCUAUUGAUUUUCAGGUCACUAGGUCAAAGGUCAAAGUCACAGUGACAAAAAACAUAUUUACAAAAUGGCUGUCACUACAACUGAGAGCCCAUAUGGGGGACAUGCAUGUUUUACAAACAGCCCUUGUUG
Long non-coding RNA from Dreissena polymorpha, 1049 nucleotides. RefSeq lists it as uncharacterized. The transcript has 3 exons. The record is from RefSeq and is a predicted model, not a curated record. Lineage: Eukaryota; Metazoa; Mollusca; Bivalvia; Myida; Dreissenidae.